Branchiostoma floridae (Florida lancelet) is the source of this 3573-nucleotide long non-coding RNA. RefSeq lists it as uncharacterized. The record is from RefSeq and is a predicted model, not a curated record. The transcript is spliced from 3 exons. Lineage: Eukaryota; Metazoa; Chordata; Leptocardii; Amphioxiformes; Branchiostomatidae.
GAGACAGCAGUAGCAAUAAAACAUGUGCGUGACCCUUCAGAUAGCCAGUGACACAGACAUAACCGUACGUUUCAUGACAAAUUGCUUUCCAUCCAUGCAGAAAGAGGGAAAAUUAGUUUUCCCUGAUAUAAUCUACCAAUAAAGACCCCAUACAACAAAUUUGGUCUGCUUGAUAGAGUGAAGUACACUGCAAAAUUAAGUAAACCCAUGGGGGAAAAAUCGAUACUCUGUAAUUGAAUUAGACUGCAGCAAAGCUGUAUCUCAGAUCAGACCAAUAAGGUGCAAUGAUGUCUAUACAUCAAAGAGCUUCGUGACAGAAUUUUUUUUCAUGCUGACAAGGCAAAAAACAAAUCUAAUUUACCUAUUUCUAUCGUUAAUGAUUUCAAUGCAAACAAUAUGAAGUCUUUUUUGAUGAUCUAUGAAAGCUAGCAAACAGUAUAUGUAACAAAAUAUGUAAAAUUAUCUUUAAAAUUGGUUAUUGGCUCCCACACUGAAUAUGUAGGCAAAAAUAAUUGUACUUGUCUCUGCAGAAUUUGUUCUCUUCCUACAAAGUUAGUUUGACUAGAAAUAUCAGAGAAACAAAACAUUUCGUUGGUUCAGCCUUGGACCAAAUGUGUAAGUUACCAUUCGGAUGCUACCUGUCAACUUAGAGUAACCAGGCAAGGUACAUUGGCCAGGUUGUUUUGGUGCCUGGGGGCUUUGUAAUUAUGUUGGGGUUGUUGGACAAACUUGCUGGGACACUUUUGAAUUUGUACAAUGAAAACAAGCAAUGGUUCAGACUUCUAAGGCCUGGAAAGGUUUACGCUUGAAGUAAAAGUCUUUUGGAAACAAUGUAAGUACCAACCAAAAGGGAGGGCGGUAGAGUACAAGUACUUGAACUAGUCUGGUGAAAGUGUAAAGGACGUUUCAAUAAAUACUCAGCAAAUAGGGGAAUAGGAGAUUCCAAAAACACAUUGAAAUGUGUUUCUGUACAUUCUAUAACACUGUAACACACCUAUGAACCCUACAUGUAAGAGGGCAGGGGGCAGGGAAGCAGAAAGCCCAGCCCAGGUGUUGGUUGAUGUCCGGGUGACAAGGCAUAUGUCCACAAACAAAGGCGCAUUGUGAACCAUGUACUGGAAUUCCCAAGGUCGGUGGUACGUUACAUGCAACAUUCUAUAGUGCCUUUUUUGCUGGACAAGCUUGUAACCCAUGCUUCUGGCAAGCUUGGUAAAGACGGUUACAGAAGCAAAUCUACAUAAUGGACAAUUGCUUUUUAUUCAUAUUGUGUUUUCUAGAGAAGUGCAGACAAUUGCAUAGUAUAUGGCAUGGCGACUCAUUAGUAAGAUGAAAAUAUUCAAGGAUUGUUGCUUUAGGAGGGGCAGGACACACACAAAAAUCUAUGGCUGUUUAACGCGAAAAGAACGACAGCUAAAAACCGUUGCACAUGCUUUGUACUGGUAGGGCAAACACGAGAGCCCCUCCCACCCAUACUGCACUUGUCUGUGCCCGACCUCCAACGAGGCACUUUAUUUGAACAACUCGUGGACGGACUCGAGACGAGAAAGGCAAACAUGAUUGGGUGAUUUACAGUGGGCCCGCGCCGACACAACAAGCCCAUGACGUGUGCGCAGAGCCACCUCACCAACCGUUAUACGUCAAGCCAGCCUCUCCGAAAUCCAAUUAUAGGUAAAACACUGUUUGCUACGUGUACAGGGGUAUAAUCCAUGUGCUGGUACAAAAUCCACAGUUGUUUUCUCCAGUUUUACAUGCUUCACAAAGGCAGAUCACAGAACAUGAUAAUUUGACAAUAGAAAAUGCUUACUUUUAACUCCUGAUGCACUAUACAUUAGCCAAAACCAGUGUUACUUUUGCUUUGGAUGGUUAAUCCUUGCCAAACAUACCUAUACACCCUCAGGACAAAUGGAUAGCUACAACAAGCACUUUUACAAGUGUACACAAAUUGUUAAAAAAUCCACUUUUCACGAGCCCCAUUUUCCUGUUUGAAUUUUCUUUCCAAUCAAACAGUUGGGCAGUAACACAAUUGCCAUGUCCGUCUCUUUGUCCAAGGCAUAAACGAAUGACCCAAUGCAAACAAACUGGGCCAGCGUCCAAAGAACGUCAAGCCAUCACAGGUCACACAAAAAAGCAGGUGUUACAACGGGAGGUCAACCUACAUCGCGGACAGGGGCUACCUGCUUCCUACAACGGCUUUUGUUUGAACCGACCCCAUUUACAGUUGAAACAAAAUAUUUGUACGUCCCUGGCUGGUAGAAACAAUUGUGUAAUCAACCAUCAAUCUGAUUAGUCGACAAAUUUAAACACAGUGUUUGCUCAUUGCCCAACGGUCUGGUUGUCAGCGUGCUCAGCGGAGAUAAAACUCACUUGCACUUUGUGUCUAUCGUCCGUGCUAAUAGCUUGUUUGGGACCACAAAAGCAGGGGGAACAAGAAGGCUUAGAUAGACUAUGUGCAACUUUGAAAGGGAAAAAAAGGAAAUUUGUAGCAAAUAAUGUAUGAAAUUGAUUAAAAAUAGUAUUAUUUGUUGUCCAUAGACAUGGAAAUAUUGCAAUAAAAGAACACUUCAAAAGCCUGAUAUAUUCUUUUGAAUUCAGACUUUGUCUAUGUAUGAAGACAACUUAUUUCAGCAAGACCAAAUAAUUAAGUCCAAGCACAAUGCAUUUGAAUGUUGUCUACUGAAAAGGUGUCAAAAGAAGUGUGCAAGUCGUCUUUUUCAACUGGGGCAAAUCCCAGACCCUGAGAAAUAAAUCUAAGGCCGCUAGUCGACAAAGAAUGAUGGCAAGACGUCCCCUGAUUAUGUAUGGAAGUUGCACCUGAGAUGCAUAUGUAAUACAAGUCCUCGCUAUACACAAAGCGUGCAUUGUCACAAGUAACCGUUACAACUGCCCUAAAAUGGAAGAAAUCUUGGGGCACGGGGCCCGGGGUUACUGCACUUUAAACACCGUUACGUGACAUUUGGACGAUUUAUGGCCGAACUGGGGUCUGAACAUCGCCCGACGCCGGGAAAUUAUGAAUAAUUGAUCAAUACUGUGCAUUUCUGGCGGGUCCGACGCGCGUGGCUUAUUGUUAUUGUAAUGUAUGGCGCCGUCUUCGUGGCGUGGGGAGCUGAAACCUGAGCGUGGCGUGGGGGAAAGAACAAGAACAAAGCACGGCAAAGUGACACCAAAACGGUUGGUCCCGGAAGCGGAGAUGCGCAGAAAAAUUCUCGCUUUCUGCCCGGCUUCGCCUGACUCGCACAGAACAAGGCUGUCACAACACAGACAUGGGAGACUUACCCGGGCAUUUAACGUGCCACGGCGACCCGUUAUAAACCACAACAGCUUGAAAACACCGAACUCUGACGCCGUGGCUCUGAAGACUAAAGAAGUUCCACAGGGUAGAAAGCAAAGGAUUUGCUUGUUGUUGGAGAUCCGCCGGGCUCUGGAAGGGAAUACCAAUGGGCAUUUAGAAAAGCCAUGUCUAAAUCCGAGAUAAAAUGGCCACACAAGCCGACCAUGCUGGAAACACGUGUCGGUGUUUUCCAGCACUUGCCUUGGUGUAUACUUUGCUUGGACUGAUACAGAAACGUGCCAAUA